RNAcentral lists this ribosomal RNA (253 nucleotides) under uncultured bacterium. RNAcentral describes it as "partial 16S ribosomal RNA". It matches the Rfam family "Bacterial small subunit ribosomal RNA", at positions 524 to 776 of the family's 1533-position model. The record is from RNAcentral.
UACAGAGGGUGCAAGCGUUAAUCGGAAUUACUGGGCGUAAAGCGUGCGUAGGCGGUCCGCAAAGUCUGAUGUGAAAGCCCCGGGCUCAACCUGGGAACUGCAUUGGAAACUAACGGGCUCGAGUGUGGCAGAGGGGGGUGGAAUUCCACGUGUAGCAGUGAAAUGCGUAGAGAUGUGGAGGAACACCGAUGGCGAAGGCAGCCCCCUGGGCUAACACUGACGCUCAGGCACGAAAGCGUGGGGAGCAAACAGG